RNAcentral lists this small nuclear RNA (288 nucleotides) under Tupaia belangeri (northern tree shrew). RNAcentral describes it as "7SK RNA (ENSTBEG00000020181.1)". It matches the Rfam family "7SK RNA". Rfam says of the family: 7SK was discovered as an abundant small nuclear RNA in the mid-70s but a possible function has only recently been suggested. Two independent studies have found that 7SK RNA binds the CDK9/cyclin T complex (known as elongation factor P-TEFb). The record is from RNAcentral. Lineage: Eukaryota; Metazoa; Chordata; Mammalia; Scandentia; Tupaiidae.
GGAUGCAAGGGCUAUCUGCUUGAGAUACCUGUCACACUGACAGCUGGGGUAGAUCUGGCUGAUCUAGCCGAUGUCCUCUUCCUCGCCUCCACUGCUCCAUGUGUGUCCCUCAGUCUUUCCAGGUAGAGGAAGACUGUCAAAGGCAAGGGCUUACGAGUAGCUGUGCUCCCAUGCUAGAGCUUCUAAUUGAGCUCUCAAGGCUCAUUUGUAGGAUAUCAUAGGAAGUCGAGCUCCAACACUGCAAACACAUUCACAUGAGGUGCUGCCUGUGGCAUUCUGCCUUGAUUU